CCUCCCAUGGAUAGCUUAUAUCGACAGAUGGCUAUUACAAUCCGUCGAUUCGUUAUUGGCACACUUGUUACAACAUUUGGAUUAAGAUGGUGGAUUAUGGAUCGGAAGUCCCUUGGAUCUGGUUGGUCUUUUACGAACGAGAAAACCAGAUUGCUUGCGGUUGCAAAUGUAAAGAAAAUAAAACUGUCAAACAAGCCGGGAAAGCCCUAAGAACUACGGAAAAAUUCCGCAAUAUACUCAUGUAAUUUCCCAUCUUGAAACUUGUUUUAUAAAAAGGCAUAUAUUUAUUACCUCCUCUAAUCUUUCCUACUUUUCCUAUAUGUGAAGAACUGGUAAUACCAUCUAAUAAACUUGAAACUUGUAAAUAA
Molecule: long non-coding RNA, 368 nt
Organism: Pieris napi
Lineage: Eukaryota; Metazoa; Arthropoda; Insecta; Lepidoptera; Pieridae
Exons: 2
Source: RefSeq, a predicted model, not a curated record